This 240-nucleotide unclassified non-coding RNA is filed under the name soil metagenome. RNAcentral describes it as "partial contains 5.8S ribosomal RNA, internal transcribed spacer 2, and large subunit ribosomal RNA". The record is from RNAcentral.
AACUGAUACUACCUGCGGGAACCUGCGGAGGGAUCAUUACAGAGUUGCAAAACUCCCUAAACCAUUGUGAACGUUACCUAAACCGUUGCUUCGGCGGGCGGCCCGGGUCCUUCCCGGCGCCCCUCGGCCCUCGCGGGCGCCCGCCGGAGGAAAACCAAACUAUUGCAUUGUAUGGCCUCUCUGAGUCUUCUGUACUGAAUAAGUCAAAACUUUCAACAAUGGAUCUCUAGAUCGGAAGAG